AGAGUUUGAUCCUGGCUCAGAUUGAACGCUGGCGGCAGGCUUAACACAUGCAAGUCGAGCGGAUGGAAUGUGCUUGCGCCUUAACUUAGCGGCGGACGGAUGAGUGAUGCUUAGGAAUCUGCCUAUUCCUGGGGGACGACGUUUCUAAAGGAACGCUGAUACCGCAUACGUCCUACUGGAGAAAGGAGGGGAUCUUCAGACCUUGGGCUAUUAGAUGAGCCUUUGUCGGAUUACCUAGUUGGUGGGGUAAAGGCCUACCAAGGCUACCAUCUGUAGGGGGUCUGACAGGAUGAUCCGCCACACUGGAACUGACACACUGCCCCUACUCCUACGGGAGGACUCCUUGGGGAAUAUUGGACAAUGGGUCAAAGCCUGAUCCAGCCAUGCCGCGUGUGUGAAGAAGGCCUUUUGGUUGUAAAGCACUUUAAGCGAGGAGGAGGAGCUUCAGGUUAAUACCCUGUAUGCUUGGACGUUACUCCCAUAAUAAGCACCGGCUAACUCUGUGCCAGCAACCACGGGAAUACAGACGGUGCAAGCCUUAAUCGGAUUUACUGGUCCUAAAUCAUGCGUAGGCGGCUACUUACGUCAGAUGUCAAAUCCCUGAUCUUAACUUGCGAAUUGCAUUCGAUACUGGUCAUCUAGAGUAUGGAAAAUGAUGUGAGAAUUACAAGAGUAGCAUUGAAAUGCGUACAGAUCUAUAGGAAUACAUAUGGAGGAAGCAGCCAUCUGACCUAAUACUGACGGUGAGGUACUGAACGCAUGGCGAGCAAACAGGAUUAAAUACACUGGAUAGUCCAUGC
This 800-nucleotide ribosomal RNA is filed under the name uncultured bacterium. RNAcentral describes it as "bacterial SSU rRNA". It matches the Rfam family "Bacterial small subunit ribosomal RNA", at positions 8 to 800 of the family's 1533-position model. The record is from RNAcentral.